RNAcentral lists this ribosomal RNA (253 nucleotides) under uncultured bacterium. RNAcentral describes it as "partial 16S ribosomal RNA". It matches the Rfam family "Bacterial small subunit ribosomal RNA", at positions 524 to 776 of the family's 1533-position model. The record is from RNAcentral.
UACGUAGGGGGCGAGCGUUAUCCGGAAUUACUGGGCGUAAAGCGCACGCAGGCGGUUCGCUAAGUUUGGAGUGACAGUUGUCGGCUCAACCGACAAAGGACUUCAAAAACUGGUGAACUUGAGGACGAGAGAGGAACAUGGAACUCCAGGUGUAGUAGUGAAAUGCGUAGAUAUCUGGAAGAACACCAAUGGCGAAGGCAAUGUUCUGGCUCGUUUCUGACGCUCAGGUGCGAAAGCCAGGGGAGCGAACGGG